GAUCAAUUUAAUUUCUGAUAUCAAAUGCAAUGAGACUCCUCACUAGAUGAAGCAUAUGAAAAAAAUGCGAUAUUUUUAUGUCAUAAAAAAUCCAGUUUCCUUCUGAUGUCAUAUACAUUGAGACUCCACACAAUAUUAUUCAUAUGAAAAUGUUGCGAUAUUUCUACAUCAUAAAAGAUCCAGUUCUCUUCUGAUGUCACAUACAUUAAGACUCCACACAAUAUUAUUUAUAUGAAAAUGUUGCGAUAUUUCUACAUCAUAAAAACGAACUCUUCAUUCCACUGAGAACCAGAAUCUGAUUUUGAAGUAUUACAG
This is a long non-coding RNA of Myzus persicae (green peach aphid), 315 nucleotides long. RefSeq lists it as uncharacterized. NCBI's taxonomy places the organism in Eukaryota, Metazoa, Arthropoda, Insecta, Hemiptera, Aphididae. The transcript has 4 exons. The record is from RefSeq and is a predicted model, not a curated record.